This 1221-nucleotide ribosomal RNA is filed under the name Klebsiella pneumoniae. RNAcentral describes it as "bacterial SSU rRNA". It matches the Rfam family "Bacterial small subunit ribosomal RNA", at positions 1 to 1214 of the family's 1533-position model. The record is from RNAcentral. Lineage: Bacteria; Pseudomonadati; Pseudomonadota; Gammaproteobacteria; Enterobacterales; Enterobacteriaceae.
AAAUUGAAGAGUUUGAUCAUGGCUCAGAUUGAACGCUGGCGGCAGGCCUAACACAUGCAAGUCGAGCGGUAGCACAGAGAGCUUGCUCUCGGGUGACGAGCGGCGGACGGGUGAGUAAUGUCUGGGAAACUGCCUGAUGGAGGGGGAUAACUACUGGAAACGGUAGCUAAUACCGCAUAACGUCGCAAGACCAAAGUGGGGGACCUUCGGGCCUCAUGCCAUCAGAUGUGCCCAGAUGGGAUUAGCUAGUAGGUGGGGUAACGGCUCACCUAGGCGACGAUCCCUAGCUGGUCUGAGAGGAUGACCAGCCACACUGGAACUGAGACACGGUCCAGACUCCUACGGGAGGCAGCAGUGGGGAAUAUUGCACAAUGGGCGCAAGCCUGAUGCAGCCAUGCCGCGUGUGUGAAGAAGGCCUUCGGGUUGUAAAGCACUUUCAGCGGGGAGGAAGGCGGUGAGGUUAAUAACCUUGGCGAUUGACGUUACCCGCAGAAGAAGCACCGGCUAACUCCGUGCCAGCAGCCGCGGUAAUACGGAGGGUGCAAGCGUUAAUCGGAAUUACUGGGCGUAAAGCGCACGCAGGCGGUCUGUCAAGUCGGAUGUGAAAUCCCCGGGCUCAACCUGGGAACUGCAUUCGAAACUGGCAGGCUAGAGUCUUGUAGAGGGGGGUAGAAUUCCAGGUGUAGCGGUGAAAUGCGUAGAGAUCUGGAGGAAUACCGGUGGCGAAGGCGGCCCCCUGGACAAAGACUGACGCUCAGGUGCGAAAGCGUGGGGAGCAAACAGGAUUAGAUACCCUGGUAGUCCACGCCGUAAACGAUGUCGAUUUGGAGGUUGUGCCCUUGAGGCGUGGCUUCCGGAGCUAACGCGUUAAAUCGACCGCCUGGGGAGUACGGCCGCAAGGUUAAAACUCAAAUGAAUUGACGGGGGCCCGCACAAGCGGUGGAGCAUGUGGUUUAAUUCGAUGCAACGCGAAGAACCUUACCUGGUCUUGACAUCCACAGAACUUUCCAGAGAUGGAUUGGUGCCUUCGGGAACUGUGAGACAGGUGCUGCAUGGCUGUCGUCAGCUCGUGUUGUGAAAUGUUGGGUUAAGUCCCGCAACGAGCGCAACCCUUAUCCUUUGUUGCCAGCGGUCCGGCCGGGAACUCAAAGGAGACUGCCAGUGAUAAACUGGAGGAAGGUGGGGAUGACGUCAAGUCAUCAUGGCCCUUACGACCAGGGC